Molecule: ribosomal RNA, 431 nt
Filed under: manganese-oxidizing bacterium Eplume4.J1
Lineage: Bacteria; Pseudomonadati; Pseudomonadota; Alphaproteobacteria
Description: bacterial SSU rRNA
Rfam family: Bacterial small subunit ribosomal RNA
Source: RNAcentral
UUAGAGUUUGAUCCUGGCUCAGAACGAACGCUGGCGGCAGGCUUAACACAUGCAAGUCGAACGCAUCCUUCGGGGUGAGUGGCAGACGGGUGAGUAACGCGUGGGAAUCUACCCAUCCCUACGGGAUAGCUCCGGGAAACUGGAGAUAAUACCGUAUACGUCCUCCGGGAGAAAGAUUUAUCGGGGAUGGAUGAGCCCGCGUUGGAUUAGCUAGUUGGUGGGGUAAUGGCCUACCAAGGCGACGAUCCAUAGCUGGUCUAAGAGGAUGAUCAGCCACAUUGGGACUGAGACACGGCCCAAACUCCUACGGGAGGCAGCAGUGGGGAAUAUUGGACAAUGGGCGCAAGCCUGAUCCAGCCAUGCCGCGUGAGUGAUGAAGGCCCUAGGGUUGUAAAGCUCUUUCAGUGGGGACGAUAAUGACGGUACCCACA